RNAcentral lists this long non-coding RNA (1861 nucleotides) under Salmo salar (Atlantic salmon). Its description in RNAcentral is "lncRNA (ENSSSAG00000114559.1)". Lineage: Eukaryota; Metazoa; Chordata; Actinopteri; Salmoniformes; Salmonidae. The record is from RNAcentral.
AGAUGGAAUGCCCAUCACUAUCUUGAACAUGUGUCGUUCCUUCUCUAUUUCUAGAUGCAAUCAGUUACGUGGCAAAAAUCAGAUUGAGACCUUCAAUCAAACUGAGGGCAGAGAAAUAUGUGUGCACCAGACAGGUAAAGGCUUCUUGCAUGCAUGACUUUGAGAGAGUCAAAUGUGAGAGGGCAUCCCAGAUGACCAAGUGACUGAACAAAAUCUGGCCUGCAAACCAGGAACAUGAAGGAGACUGCGAUCCAGAGGGCUCAGUGGACCAGACAGAAUGGGGCCAAGACAGUCAAAGAGCCAUUCCAGACUCUGAAAUCAGGAGGACUUCAAGAAUUAGGUGUUAGUCAGACUAGUGAUUGACUAGUGAUUGACUGCAAUGGAAAAGUAAUUGUUUGUCAACAAAAUAACACAAUUUUAAGUAGUAUGGUGCAGAGUCUCACAAGCAUUAGAAACAGCAGUGGGUGUGAAUACGGUGGGAACAUGUGGAUCUGAGCAAGUGUGAUGUCAUUAAGAUUGCUCAGGACUUCUACAUUUUAAACCUGGACUGCUUGUGGAAACUCACUGAUAACUGGAUCACAGUCUUCAAGGACAAAAAAACUUUGCUUCGCCAGUCCAGAGAGAAGCAGGCCCAAGAUUUUCUCUUCAAAGUGCAAGUAUUGUUUGAAAUGACCCUGCUGGUGGUGCCUCAGAUGCUCAGUUAUAAUCAAGUUAUUCACUAAACAUUCAUCUCUCCAGAUACACAAGGUGACGUCACUUGAAGACGUCACUUUAAGACUAUUAGUGGUCCUCCCAACACCAGUCUACAAGAUAGGCAGGAAGACAUUCCGACCCAGCUUCAAUGAGACCAGAAAGUCCUUCAUUGACUUGCAGCCUGUAAGUUUAAAUAGUGCAUAGGCAAAGGGAGAUUGAUGAGUAAAUUAGAUGAUGGCAUUUUGUAAACCUUGAAUGAAAGGAACACCAUUCCAAAAUCUGUAACGCAUAACUGCACACUCCAAGACAUUAGGAAGGUUUCCAUCCCAUUUGCGACAGAUUUUCAUGCGAAUAUUCUCAAAUCUGCAUUAAACAAUAUGCACAUUUUCUCACCGGAGAUGUUUCCAGCAAACAGACUUUUUGUGGAUAAAAGACUGUGUGAUGACAUAGUGCACGUAAAUUACUUUUGCCGUUAAAUGUACCAAAUAAAAAGAUGCAAGUGAAAUGGAUUUCCAUCGCAUUUUCAACUGUACUGAUGGUUUUGUGACAAACUGUUGCAUACAAACCCUGAAAUUUCCAUCCCUAACUAUAACAUUUUCCGACAAGAUAUAACUGCCAAAGGGGGCGGGGUUGCAAUCUACUACAGAGAUAGCCUGCAGAGUUCUGUCUUACUAUCCAAGUCUGUACCCAAACAAUUUGAGCUUCUACUUUUAAAAAUCCACCUUUCCAGAAACAAGUCUCUCACCGUUGCCGCUUGCUAUAGACCACCCUCUGCCCCCAGCUGUGCCCCGGACACCAUAUGUGAAUUGAUUGCCCCCCAUCUAUCUUCAGAGCUCGUGCUGCUAGGUGACGUAAACUGGGACAUGCUUAACACCCCGGCCAUCCUACAAUCUAAGCUAGAUGCCCUCAAUCUCACACAAAUGAUCAAGGAACCCACCAGGUACAACCCCAAAUCCGUAAACACGGGCACCCUCAUAGAUAUCAUCCUAACCAACUUGCCCUCCAAAUACACCUCUGCUGUUUUCAACCAAGAUCUCAGCGAUCACUGCCUCAUUGCCUGCAUCCGUAAUGGUUCUGCAGUCAAACGACCAAAUCAAAUUUAUUUAUAUAGCCCUUCGUACAUCAGCUGAUAUCUCAAAGUGCUGUACAGAAACCCAGCCUAAAACCC